CCUACGGGAGGCAGCAGUGAGGAAUAUUGGUCAAUGGACGAGAGUCUGAACCAGCCAAGUAGCGUGCAGGAUGACUGCCCUAUGGGUUGUAAACUUCUUUUAUAUGGGAAUAACAUGUUCCACGUGUGGGAUUUUGUAUGUACCAUAUGAAUAAGGAUCGGCUAACUCCGUGCCAGCAGCCGCGGUAAUACGGAGGAUCCGAGCGUUAUCCGGAUUUAUUGGGUUUAAAGGGAGCGUAGGUGGAUUGUGAAGUGAGUUGUGAAAGUUUGCGGCUCAACCGUAAAAUUGCAGUGGAAACUGGCGUGCUUGAGUACAGGAGAGGCAGGCGGAAUUCGUGGUGUAGCGGUGAAAUGCUUAGAGAUGACGAAGAACUCCGAUUGCGAAGGCAGCUCACUGGAGUGCAACUGACACUGAGGCUCGAAAGUGUGGGUAUCGAACAGGAUUAGAUACCCGGGUAGUC
RNAcentral lists this ribosomal RNA (460 nucleotides) under uncultured bacterium. RNAcentral describes it as "partial 16S ribosomal RNA". It matches the Rfam family "Bacterial small subunit ribosomal RNA", at positions 338 to 795 of the family's 1533-position model. The record is from RNAcentral.